CAUAAAUGCGUUAAUUCACUGCUGUAUUUGUAGAGCAAUAUGGGAGGUUAGAAUGGAUCAUCAUAGGCUCAGGGUCGAAGGGAGAGGAAAAGAAGGAAUUCAGUCUUUUAACCUGCAAGAAAACUCACUCAUGCAGACAGAAGUCCAACAGCAAACAGCACACCAGGGUUGCGACUGAAAUGAAGAGCAGUUGAUCAUUAUUCACCCUGUAUGAAAAUGAUACGACCUAAAAGUUUAACUGAGUAGUACAGUAUUUUGUUUUCUAAAGCCGGAGGUGGGUUGCUGGAAAACAAUGCGGUGUUUGCUGCAGGCUGAGAGGAGGACUGCGAUGUACUACCACCACAGCUCUAACAGGGCACAGAAGAGGACCUCAGUAGAAGACUACAGGUUUCUCCAUGGAGCAGCACAGAGGGUGAACAAAGGCAGGUGUCAUGUUACCCAGGUAGCUCCUGGCCAAUAGUGGUGACACCCCAAAUAAAAAAAAAAAGAGUAGGAAGCAUAGAUCAACAGACCUGGCCACCCCUCUCUUAACAGACCAAGAAAAGCUGUUCAAUACACAAGAAAAUAACACACACACUGUUUCCACGGUAUCUCACGGCAGACAUAACUUCCUAAGCCCACCCACAUCUGCACAGGAACAAAAUUGGAGCUGAAGAAGCAAAAGAGUAAGCUGCACCCUUCUUAUUUCUGGUCUCUAGAGCUGGGAUUCUUGACUAACGAUGGAAGGGGAAGCAGUGAGAUAUGAAAUGGAUAUGAGAUUAAAGUUUCCAGCAGGACUGAAUUUUAAUAACUGAAAGGACUGGAAAGUGAUGCAGUCUACUCAAGAUAUUAAGAUAUGGAAAAUAGAGAUUUAACAGAGCAUAAUUAAAAGCA
Molecule: long non-coding RNA, 873 nt
Filed under: Homo sapiens (human)
Lineage: Eukaryota; Metazoa; Chordata; Mammalia; Primates; Hominidae
Description: HSALNT0367174
Source: RNAcentral